Diospyros lotus (date-plum) is the source of this 1554-nucleotide RNA transcript. It is a transcript of the gene named protein THYLAKOID ASSEMBLY 8-like, chloroplastic, with no coding region annotated. The transcript has 4 exons. NCBI's taxonomy places the organism in Eukaryota, Viridiplantae, Streptophyta, Magnoliopsida, Ericales, Ebenaceae. The record is from RefSeq and is a predicted model, not a curated record.
CUCCCCUUGUUUAUUCCGCUUCGUUUCCGGUCUACGCUUUCCAGCCUUCCCCUUCAAAUCAAAACCCUACAUCUCUCUCUCUCUCUCUCUCUCUCUCUCUCUCUGCCCUAGAUGUCAUUUGGAGUUGUUGCAGCCAUUCGCAGGUCCAAAUUUCGAGUAUUUCCUUCAUCACCGUUGUUCCUCUCCAGAAUACUUCCAUCCAUCAUCUUCAGCAGUGAUUCUUCUUCCUCUUUCCAACCGCCGCAGUCUUUAUUCUUCUUCCUCACCGGUAGCAAUGGCGGUCUCAAUCGCAGUGUGAGUCUGCCCCGGUGGUCUUGCCGCUGCUAUCAUGAUGGGAGGCCGAGAGGACCUCUCUGGAGGAGCAAAAAAAUUAUUGGCAAGGAAGCUCUUUUCGUGAUAUUGUGCUUGAAGAGAUUCAAGGAUGACCAAGAGAAGCUUGAUAAGUUCAUUAAAACCCACGUCCUAAGGCUGUUGAAGCUCGACCUCAUUGCUGUCCUCUCUGAACUGCAGCGCCAAGAAGAGGUCUCUCUGGCCCUCCUGAUCUUUAGGGUUAUUCAAAAACAAGACUGGUAUAAGCCUGAUGUCUUCCUCUACAAGGACCUGAUUAUUGCAUUAUCAAAAUGUAAGAAAAUGGAUGAUGCAACGCAAUUAUGGGAAAUCAUGAGAAAGGAAGGCUUAUUUCCUGACAGCCAAACAUACACUGAAGUUAUUCGUGGCUUCUUGAGGUGUGGAUCUCCUGCGGAUGCCAUGAACAUUUAUGAGGACAUGAAGAAUUCGCCAGAUCCACCAGAGGAGUUGCCAUUUAGGAUAUUGUUGAAGGGUCUUCUGCCACACCCUCUCUUGAGAAACAGAGUAAAGCAAGAUUUUGAGGAAAUUUUUCCUGAUAGCCAUAUGUAUGAUCCUCCAGAAGAAAUAUUUGGAUUGCGCUAAGCAACUAAGGUUUCAUCAACCUGGAAACAGUGGAUCCAGUGUUGACCUAGAUAAAGGAAUUAUAUAGCUGUGCUUUGUCCUCCGCACAUCCAGAAUUGCUUGGCCAAAACAUUGAACCAAACCAAACCACUUGGGAAAAAGUUUUCAGAAAUUGAAAAGCAGAAAGUUUUCUGAUUGAUUACCUUGUCAGAUGAUAUGAGAAUUAAAAUUUCUUUACCUAAGAUACUUGAGAAGAAUCUGGUCGUCAGAGCCCAACCUGUUUGUCAAUUCUCAAAUCUGCGUCCUGGCACCUGUGGCAAUUUGACUCCAACAGAAGAAGUUGGUAGCAUCUAUACCAAGAAAGAUAAAUCAGACAGGGUGGUUUUCUAAGAAAUUUAUGCAAUUGGGUUUUGAAUUUCUUUGCUAGAGACAGGGAGAGAAACUAUGCUUAAGAGACCAAACGUUUUUAGGGCUUGAUGUUCUCAUCUGUUCUGUUUGGAUCUAAGGAUCAAGCAUGAUAGUUGUUCGCGAAUAUAAUUUUUUAUGAAUAUCAUCUACGCUGUUGGAGUAAGAGUACUAUUGUUCAUUUGUUUUGCAAUUGUUUUGUUAAGAGCGUGAAUCUAGUUUGAUUAUGAUUUAGACCUA